UACGGAGGGGGCUAGCGUUGUUCGGAAUUACUGGGCGUAAAGCGCGCGUAGGCGGACCUGCAAGUCGGGGGUGAAAGCCCGAGGCUUAACCUCGGAACUGCCUUCGAUACUGCGGGUCUCGAGUCCGGGAGAGGUGAGUGGAAGUCCUAGUGUAGAGGUGAAAUUCGUAGAUAUUAGGAAGAACACCAGUGGCGAAGGCGGCUCACUGGCCCGGCACUGACGCUGAGGCGCGAAAGCGUGGGGAGCAAACAGG
Molecule: ribosomal RNA, 253 nt
Filed under: uncultured bacterium
Lineage: Bacteria
Description: partial 16S ribosomal RNA
Rfam family: Bacterial small subunit ribosomal RNA
Source: RNAcentral